This 377-nucleotide unclassified non-coding RNA is filed under the name fungal sp. Its description in RNAcentral is "partial internal transcribed spacer region". The stretch from base 1 to 46 matches the Rfam family "Eukaryotic small subunit ribosomal RNA", at positions 1786 to 1831 of the family's 1831-position model. The record is from RNAcentral. Lineage: Eukaryota; Fungi.
AAGUCGUAACAAGGUUACCGUUGGUGAACCAGCGGUAGGAUCAUUACCACAAAAAUACCUUUACAAAAUCAACAACCCCUCAAAGUGGAGAUGAUUUGUUAUUUAUAACAAAGAAUCCGAGCUUUUUGUGAACUCGUAGACCCCGUUCGUCACUUGCUUUGUCUUCGGAUGAAGGGAGUGCGGAUGGACUAACCCAUAUUGCCUCUUUCUAAACAAUCGAGGCAACGUGGACAACAUAAAUAAACUACAUUUUAAACAAUCAAUAUCUGAAAACACUAUUUCAUUUUUAUUUUCUUCAAUUCAUUUUGAAAAAACAAAAACGAAUAAAACAAAACAAAAACAAAAAACAACUUUUAACGGUGGAUCUCUAGGCUCGU